GUGGAUUAGAUACCCGAGUAGUCCACGCCGUAAACGAUGGGUACUAGGUGUAGGGGUUUCGAUACCUCUGUGCCGCCGUUAACACAAUAAGUACCCCGCCUGGGGAGUACGGUCGCAAGAUUAAAACUCAAAGGAAUUGACGGGGGCCCGCACAAGCAGCGGAGCAUGUGGUUUAAUUCGAAGCAACGCGAAGAACCUUACCUAGACUUGACAUCUCCUGCAUUACCCUUAAUCGGGGAAGUCCCUUCGGGGACAGGAAGACAGGUGGUGCACGGCUGUCGACAACU
Molecule: ribosomal RNA, 287 nt
Filed under: uncultured bacterium
Lineage: Bacteria
Description: partial 16S ribosomal RNA
Rfam family: Bacterial small subunit ribosomal RNA
Source: RNAcentral